Carya illinoinensis is the source of this 2084-nucleotide long non-coding RNA. RefSeq lists it as uncharacterized. The record is from RefSeq and is a predicted model, not a curated record. NCBI's taxonomy places the organism in Eukaryota, Viridiplantae, Streptophyta, Magnoliopsida, Fagales, Juglandaceae. The transcript has 2 exons.
CUAAUCUCAUUUCAUCUAUCUCAUCUCAUAUCAUAUCAUAUAUCAUCUCAUCUCAUCACAGCAUCUCAUAUUAUAUCUUUCAUGUCAUUUCAUAUCAUAUCUCAUGUCAUCUCUCAUCUCAUGUCAUAUAAGGUUAACAGUUAUUAAAGCUGGCAAGUAAAUAGUGUACAAAAAAAUAUCGAUGGUUUGUUGUAAAUGGAAGUUUGACAGGAAAAGAGUUAUGCGUCUUGAGCUUAGAUGGUCGAAUUCCGUUUUAAGCUUCUUAGCUAGUGGAUCUUGUGCUAUUUUUGUGUUCCAUUGUGAUUUGGGAAGUGACGGCAAAAUAUUGAAUGUGCAUUUUUGGUUUGUAAUCAAAACAAAUUUGGCUAACAAUUUCAUUGAAUAAUUAGUGAAUUAAUUUGGUUUUUGAUAGUAUGGAUUUUUUGAAGUGCAGUAGCCUUAGUUUCAGAGGUUGUGAGUAUAUUAAAUUGUUAUCAGAAGUCUUAUGGUUGAUUACUGUUGGAGAAGUAAGAAGUUCGUUGCCAUUAAUAUAUCAUCAUCUUUAGGCCAUAGUCUUAGGGUCUGUGCUAAUGGAAACAGAGUCAUGGGAUCCUAUGAUUGUAUCACAAGUCUUAGAAAAUUAUCUGAGGUGCAUCAUUCGUCACUUGAUGCAGAAUGAGAUCAGGAAUGUUUGAAUCUUCUUCACUUGACAAAGCUUUGGUUUGUUUUUGGUUUUUUGUUUUUUUUUUUUUUUUUUUUUUUUUUUUUUGCUGGGUAGUUGGUUUUUAAAUCUCUGAAAGAUCUAAUAUAUGAGUAUCUGCCUCCUUCAACGACUAUGCUUUUGGUUUCUCUUUGCUUCAUUUUCGAACACUACUGGGUGGUGGUGGUCUUUUUAAGGUUCGGUUUGACAACAUAAAAUUUUCAUCUCAAACUCAAAAUUCUUAUAAGAAGUAACCAGGAAGCGUUUUUAAGGUUGAGGCAUGAUUCAUUUUUAUUUCUCUAAUAUUUGAGUACUUAGCUUUUGGUAGAUUUAACAAAAGAAUUCGCAUAUUUUAAUUUUUACUAUCUCAUAUACUAUCUCAAAAGUACACAUUCCAGUCUUCAAACAUUGAUGCUUCUAUCUAGAAAGAAUAUUUUCCUCAAUUUCUCUUUUUUUCAUUCCGUGGAUAUAUAUGAGCCCUGAGUACUUUAUAGAAGGGUUUGUGCCAUGGAAAGGUUGAUCGGGUAGACUUUAGCAUAUACAGGUUGAAAAGGAAAGUCUAAGGUAGGGUUAUCAUAUUAUUUUUUUGGUGUUUUGACAUUAUUUUUAUAUUCCUUGCAUAAUUACAUUAAUAAUCGAUUGGAAAGAUUUUAAGUUGUGCACUCUUUGAGAACUCUCAAUGGAAACAAGAAGAGAUGGCCACAGGAGUUGUUGUUCCCCUGCAACAGCAAGAGCUAAAGAACUCUUGAGAAAUUCUAUCUCAAGUGAGGUGAGAUGAGAUGGAUGAGAUGACAUGAGAUUAGGACUUUCAUUUGAUGCAGUCGUGAAAUUUAAAGCUGAACAAAAAAGGGUACGAAUUUCUCAGUAAAUUAUUGCAUGCUAUUUUGUGGAUUAAUUGCUCGUCUAUUGCUUUGAAUUAGUUUAGUGACAUUAUUUAGCUCUCUUUUUUCAACCAAAUCUUGGUAUUCUUUUAUUUUUGUGUACUUAUUCUCUUGAGUGGUUCGUUUUUGCAUUGCUAUUUUUUUGUGGAUAAUCUCACGAAGUAUGCAUUGCUGUGCAGAAAAAGGUACCGAAUACUUGCAUCUUUACUAGUAUGGGUCAACUUUGGUGUGAUGAUACUCAUAAAAAAAUAACUUUGGUGUGAUUGAUGUAGCACGAAAACGAUAUAGAGUAUAUUUUGCCGAUAGAAUUCUUGCACAACCUUGGUUUUUGUUAGAACCCAAGGGAUGCACGUAAGUUUAAACAUUUUCGACAAAUAAAAUAUGGUCCAGUUUAAUGUCUCGAACGAUGAAAUCCUGAAUAAUUUAGUUUGUGUUUCUGCACACCUUUCUCCCUUUUUGAUUUUGUAUUCAGUAGACAUAAAUUCACUUUAUUAAUUCAAGAACAGUUAUAAUCCUUUCUUCCA